This 532-nucleotide ribosomal RNA is filed under the name Pseudomonas sp. LS27. RNAcentral describes it as "bacterial SSU rRNA". It matches the Rfam family "Bacterial small subunit ribosomal RNA", at positions 57 to 584 of the family's 1533-position model. The record is from RNAcentral. Lineage: Bacteria; Pseudomonadati; Pseudomonadota; Gammaproteobacteria; Pseudomonadales; Pseudomonadaceae.
GAGAGUCGAGCGGUUGACGGGAGCUUGCUCCCUGAUUCAGCGGCGGACGGGUGAGUAAUGCCUAGGAAUCUGCCUAUUAGUGGGGGACAACGUUUCGAAAGGAACGCUAAUACCGCAUACGUCCUACGGGAGAAAGCAGGGGACCUUCGGGCCUUGCGCUAAUAGAUGAGCCUAGGUCGGAUUAGCUAGUUGGUGGGGUAAUGGCUCACCAAGGCGACGAUCCGUAACUGGUCUGAGAGGAUGAUCAGUCACACUGGAACUGAGACACGGUCCAGACUCCUACGGGAGGCAGCAGUGGGGAAUAUUGGACAAUGGGCGAAAGCCUGAUCCAGCCAUGCCGCGUGUGUGAAGAAGGUCUUCGGAUUGUAAAGCACUUUAAGUUGGGAGGAAGGGCAGUAAGUUAAUACUUUGCUGUUUUGACGUUACCGACAGAAUAAGCACCGGCUAACUCUGUGCCAGCUGCCGCGGUAAUACAGAGGGUGCAAGCGUUAAUCGGAAUUACUGGACUAAACGCGCGCGUAGGUGGUUUGUU